GACGAACGCUGGCGGCGUGCUUAACACAUGCAAGUCGAACGGAAAGGUCCUGCUUUUGGGGGGUGCUCGAGGGGCGAACGGGGGAGUUACACGUGAGUAACCUGCCCUUGCCUUUGGGAUAUCUUCAUGAAACUGGGGCUAAUACCGGAUAGGAGUUCCUGCUGUUGGGUGGGGGUGGGAAAGUUUCGGCGGUUGGGGAUGGACUCGCGGCUUAUCAGCUUGUUGGUGGGGUAGUGGCUUACCAAGGCCUUGACGGGUAGCCGGCCUGAGAGGGUGACCGGCCACAUUGGGACUGAGAUACGGCCCAGACUCCUACGGGAGGCAGCAGUGGGGAAUAUUGCACAAUGGGCGGAAGCCUGAUGCAGCAACGCCGCGUGCGGGAUGACGGCCUUCGGGUUGUAAACCGCUGUCGCCUGUGACGAAGCGUGAGUGACGGUAAUGGGUAAAGAAGCACCGGCUAACUACGUG
RNAcentral lists this ribosomal RNA (468 nucleotides) under uncultured bacterium. RNAcentral describes it as "partial 16S ribosomal RNA". It matches the Rfam family "Bacterial small subunit ribosomal RNA", at positions 28 to 507 of the family's 1533-position model. The record is from RNAcentral.